AUCGAACGCUGGCGGCAUGCCUAACACAUGCAAGUCGAACGAGUGGCGGACGGGUGAGUAAUGUCUGGGAAACUGCCUGACGGAGGGGGAUAACUACUGGAAACGGUAGCUAAUACCGCAUACCAUCAGAUGUGCCCAGAUGGGAUUAGCUUGGUGGUGGGGUAACGGCUCACCAAGGCGACGAUCCCCAGCUGGUCUGCGAGGCUGACCCGCCACACUGGAACUGAGACACGGUCCAGACUCCUACGGGAGGCAGCAGUGGGGAAUAUUGCACAAUGGGCGCAAGCCUGAUGCAGCAAUGCCGCGUGUAUGAAGAAGGCCUUCGGAUUGUAAAGUACUUUCGGCGGGGAGGCGUUACCUGAAGAAAAAGCAACGGCUAACUCCGUGCCAGCAGCCGCGGUAAUUC
RNAcentral lists this ribosomal RNA (406 nucleotides) under uncultured bacterium. RNAcentral describes it as "partial 16S ribosomal RNA". It matches the Rfam family "Bacterial small subunit ribosomal RNA", at positions 30 to 526 of the family's 1533-position model. The record is from RNAcentral.